RNAcentral lists this ribosomal RNA (320 nucleotides) under uncultured Prevotella sp. RNAcentral's name for it is "bacterial SSU rRNA". It matches the Rfam family "Bacterial small subunit ribosomal RNA", at positions 28 to 339 of the family's 1533-position model. The record is from RNAcentral. Lineage: Bacteria; Pseudomonadati; Bacteroidota; Bacteroidia; Bacteroidales; Prevotellaceae.
GAUGAACGCUAGCUACAGGCUUAACACAUGCAAGUCGUGGGGCAGCAUGAAGGAAGCUUGCUUCCUUUGAUGGCGACCGGCGCACGGGUGAGUAACGCGUAUCCAACCUUCCCCUUACUAGAGGAUAGCCCGGCGAAAGUCGGAUUAAUACUCUAUGUUGUAUUUCGAUGACAUCUGAGGAAUACCAAAGGUUCACCGCUAUGGGAUGGGGAUGCGUCUGAUUAGGUUGCAGGCGGGGUAACGGCCCACCUGGCCGACGAUCAGUAGGGGUUCUGAGAGGAAGGUCCCCCACAUUGGAACUGAGACACGGUCCAAACUCC